Molecule: long non-coding RNA, 357 nt
Organism: Capra hircus (goat)
Lineage: Eukaryota; Metazoa; Chordata; Mammalia; Artiodactyla; Bovidae
Exons: 2
Source: RefSeq, a predicted model, not a curated record
CCCACGGUGUCGCAGAGUCAGACCCGACUGAGCAACUGAACUGAAAGAAUGUUUCUGCUAGUCACCAGGAGCAGUCAUCACCGUGAAGGACUUCGGGACUUCUCUGGAUGUAAGGAGAUAACAAGAACUGGGCUCAUAAAAUCGACUCUGAAAUUAUUUAACCAUCUGAAGACUUGUUUUUCCAGUUUUUCCCAGAGCACAGAGUGCCUCUUUUCUGCCCUCCACCCUGAAUUCCUUUCAGGGAUUGUUGAAAGUCAGCAUAAUUUAAUUCUUGUAGAUGGCAAGUGCCAAUUUGUAGUUGACAGGAGCACUGUGGGAGGGAGGCAUGAGACUACUAGAAAAAAGCCAGAAAUCCUA